Molecule: transfer RNA, 87 nt
Filed under: Dentipellis sp. KUC8613
Lineage: Eukaryota; Fungi; Basidiomycota; Agaricomycetes; Russulales; Hericiaceae
Rfam family: tRNA
About the family: Transfer RNA (tRNA) molecules are approximately 80 nucleotides in length. Their secondary structure includes four short double-helical elements and three loops (D, anti-codon, and T loops). Further hydrogen bonds mediate the characteristic L-shaped molecular structure. tRNAs have two regions of fundamental functional importance: the anti-codon, which is responsible for specific mRNA codon recognition, and the 3' end, to which the tRNAs corresponding amino acid is attached (by aminoacyl-tRNA synthetases). tRNAs cope with the degeneracy of the genetic code in two manners: having more than one tRNA (with a specific anti-codon) for a particular amino acid; and 'wobble' base-pairing, i.e. permitting non-standard base-pairing at the 3rd anti-codon position.
Source: Rfam by way of RNAcentral
GGCGAUAUGGCCGAGCGGUCUAAGGCGCCAGAAUCAGGUUGCUGCAUCUGGUCCGAAAGGGCGUGGGUUCGAAUCCCACUGUCGUCA